UGACCUUGUGAAGAUUUUUCUUCUUCAGCGCCCUCUGGUGCGAUUCUCUGAAAUUUUCGAACGUUUAUAAGUAAGGAACCAGUUUAGGUAACAGACCAGUCUUGCACUCAACCGGGUUGAGUACAGAUCUUAACUGGUAGCAUUCCUUCGGAGAUCAAAUUCUUCCAGACCAAGGAACAUUCAUUUCUUCUUCAAGAAAUGAUAUUUCUGUUCUAGUU
Molecule: long non-coding RNA, 218 nt
Organism: Octopus sinensis (East Asian common octopus)
Lineage: Eukaryota; Metazoa; Mollusca; Cephalopoda; Octopoda; Octopodidae
Exons: 3
Source: RefSeq, a predicted model, not a curated record